This 23-nucleotide microRNA is filed under the name Branchiostoma floridae (Florida lancelet). RNAcentral's name for it is "bfl-miR-200b". Its record names the gene bfl-miR-200b. RNAcentral also lists the same sequence under 5 other names. Lineage: Eukaryota; Metazoa; Chordata; Leptocardii; Amphioxiformes; Branchiostomatidae. The record is from miRBase by way of RNAcentral.
UAAUACUGUCUGGUAAUGAUGUU